This 550-nucleotide ribosomal RNA is filed under the name uncultured bacterium. RNAcentral's name for it is "bacterial SSU rRNA". It matches the Rfam family "Bacterial small subunit ribosomal RNA", at positions 355 to 896 of the family's 1533-position model. The record is from RNAcentral.
UAGGGAAUCUUCCGCAAUGGGCGAAAGCCUGACGGAGCAACGCCGCGUGAGUGAUGAAGGUCUUCGGAUCGUAAAACUCUGUUAUUAGGGAAGAACAUAUGUGUAAGUAACUGUGCACAUCUUGACGGUACCUAAUCAGAAAGCCACGGCUAACUACGUGCCAGCAGCCGCGGUAAUACGUAGGUGGCAAGCGUUAUCCGGAAUUAUUGGGCGUAAAGCGCGCGUAGGCGGUUUUUUAAGUCUGAUGUGAAAGCCCACGGCUCAACCGUGGAGGGUCAUUGGAAACUGGAAAACUUGAGUGCAGAAGAGGAAAGUGGAAUUCCAUGUGUAGCGGUGAAAUGCGCAGAGAUAUGGAGGAACACCAGUGGCGAAGGCGACUUUCUGGUCUGUAACUGACGCUGAUGUGCGAAAGCGUGGGGAUCAAACAGGAUUAGAUACCCUGGUAGUCCACGCCGUAAACGAUGAGUGCUAAGUGUUAGGGGGUUUCCGCCCCUUAGUGCUGCAGCUAACGCAUUAAGCACUCCGCCUGGGGAGUACGACCGCAAGGUUG